Molecule: ribosomal RNA, 370 nt
Filed under: uncultured Geobacillus sp.
Lineage: Bacteria; Bacillati; Bacillota; Bacilli; Caryophanales; Anoxybacillaceae
Description: bacterial SSU rRNA
Rfam family: Bacterial small subunit ribosomal RNA
Source: RNAcentral
UUCCCCCUUCGGGGGGACAGGGUGACAGGUGGUGCAUGGUUGUCGUCAGCUCGUGUCGUGAGAUGUUGGGUUAAGUCCCGCAACGAGCGCAACCCUCGCCUCUAGUUGCCAGCAUUCGGUUGGGCACUCUAGAGGGACUGCCGGCGACAAGUCGGAGGAAGGUGGGGAUGACGUCAAAUCAUCAUGCCCCUUAUGACCUGGGCUACACACGUGCUACAAUGGGCGGUACAAAGGGCUGCGAACCCGCGAGGGGAGCGAAUCCCAAAAAGCCGCUCUCAGUUCGGAUUGCAGGCUGCAACUCGCCUGCAUGAAGCCGGAAUCGCUAGUAAUCGCGGAUCAGCAUGCCGCGGUGAAUACGUUCCCGGGCCUU